CGAAGUCCCGGCGCAGGGUGGUGGGCGGGGCCAGCGCGGAGAUUGACAGGGGAUGUCCUGGGGCGGCACUCGCGUGGCGCAGAAUGAGAGGCUGGUCCCGAGCAGCGAAAGGAGGGUUCUCAUCCAUAUGAGCAUGGGCUUCAUGAUGCUGGCCCUGAUCCUGUGUCUCACCCUCCUCCCCACCAUGUGCCUCUCCUUCCAGCCAGUCUUCCGACGCCUUACUAAGAUCGACCUUGUCUUCAGUUCUCUCAGCUUCAGCAUUGGGUUCCUGAUUGUUCUCAGUCUGACACUCUUUGUGGUCAACUGCGAGACGCUGCAGCCGAGGCCACAGGUAUCCUACCUGGUGACCACCUACCUGUGCUGGGCGGCCGGCGCCUUGAUGUUGUGGACCGGUGAGGGCGGGGCUGGGGGGAAGGGGUGGUGCCUCGGUAGGGCAGGGGGCGGAGCCCAGGCGAGAACACGAGGCAGGGCCCGGGGCCNNNNNNNNNNNNNNNNNNNNNNGGCGGGUGAGCAACCGUCGGUGGGCCUUGCAGCAGAACACCCCGAGACGCAUCUCCCAACAGCAGUCCGACGCGGACCAGGAGCACACCGUGGACCUGCCCAGUGCGCUCAACCCCUCAAGCCUCUCGAAACAGUCGCACACGAGCUUCUCAGGGCAGUGACCGCAGUCAGAUACCGGCCGAUCCCCUUCAUCGUGGCCACGUGAUUAGACCUCCCUGCUAGGCCCCACUCCCGAAGAACGUGCCCCACCCCUCGAGCUACGGUCUACCCUUCGCGGCUCUGUUCCCGCCCACUGAAUCCUCAUCCUACCCCCGCCCCUACAGUGCGACACCAUCCCCUCGGUGUCCGUAAGCUGUCAGCUGUGCAACCGGUUGGUGUGCCCCCCCACCCCCAGCCUAGCUAGGGCCCGCCCCUGGGUGUCUAGCCGUCUCAGGCCACGCCCCGAAGUUGCACUCCAGCGCAGGAACUCCACCCAUUCCGAGGGCGAGUCCCGCCCCCUGACAUCCAGCCACGCCCCCGCCGGAGCGCCGCACUGCCCCGCAUUUGAUGUAGCUACGCCCUCCUGGGGAACCACCCUCUCCCCCAGAAAGGCGUGGCUUGGGAUAACAUCUCCUACCUGCCCCCCCCAAAUGACUUUUCCCACACAAUAAAACGUGGGCGCCUCACA
Molecule: long non-coding RNA, 1168 nt
Filed under: Ursus maritimus (polar bear)
Lineage: Eukaryota; Metazoa; Chordata; Mammalia; Carnivora; Ursidae
Description: lncRNA (ENSUMAG00000010092.1)
Source: RNAcentral